UCGGGAAUAUUGGUCAAUGGGCGCAAGCCUGAACCAGCCAUGCCGCGUGCAGGAUGAAGGCCCUCAGGGUUGUAAACUGCUUUUGUAUGGGAAUAAAAAAGUCCUUGCGAGGACUCUUGAAGGUACCAUAAGAAUAAGCACCGGCUAACUCCGUGCCAGCAGCCGCGGUAAUACGGAGGGUGCAAGCGUUAUCCGGAUUUACUGGGUUUAAAGAGUGCGUAGGCGGUUUCUUAAGUCAGUGGUGAAAGCUUAGCGCUUAACGCUAGAAGUGCCACUGAUACUGGGAAGCUUGAGUCAAGAAGAGGUAAGCAGAAUUCAUAGUGUAGCAGUGAAAUGCUUAGAUACUAUGAGGAAUACCAACAGCGAAAGCAGCUUACUGGUCUUGUACUGACGCUGAGGCACGAAAGCGUGGGUAGCGAACAGGAUUAGAUACCCCCGUAGUCC
Molecule: ribosomal RNA, 444 nt
Filed under: uncultured prokaryote
Description: bacterial SSU rRNA
Rfam family: Bacterial small subunit ribosomal RNA
Source: RNAcentral